AAAAGGGAAAGAGCCCAGACCUACAGCUAAGGUCCCAAAGUACGUGUUAAGUGGAAAAGGAUGUGGGGAUUCUAAGACAACUAGGACGUUGGCUUAGAAGCAGCCAUUCAUUGAAAGAGUGCGUAAUAGCUCACUAGUCGAGAGUCCCUGCGCCGAAAAUGUCCGGGGCUGAAACACGACACCGAAGCUUAGGAAUGUGUAAACAUUGGUAGAGGAGCAUUGCUGGCGGGAUGAAGCCAUACCGUAAGGAGUGGUGGACUGCCAGGAAGAGAGAAUGCCGGAAUGAGUAGCGAGAUGAAGGUGAGAAUCCUUCAGGCCGAAUAUCUAAGGUUUCCAGAGUAAAGCUGAUCUGCUCUGGGUAAGUCGGGACCUAAGGCGAGGUCGAAAGACGUAGUCGAUGGAUAACAGGUUGAAAUUCCUGUACCGCAUAUAAACAGAACUGUGGGGACACAGACAGGGAAUGGAAUCCGGGAAUGGAAAUCCCGGUGCAAGCGAGGUAGGAGUGCUGUUGGCAAAUCCGCAGCACGAUCUGAAGACGUGACGCGUACCGAACAUAAGUAGGGAAGUCCAGGCCCCUGGCUGUCAAGAAAAGCCGCUAUUGUUUUAUAUGUGCCCGUACCGCAAACCGACACAGGUGGAUGAGGAGAGAAUCCUAAGGCCGACGGGAGAAGUAUUGUUAAGGAACUCGGCAAAAUGACUCCGUAACUUCGGGAGAAGGAGUGCCAUGAGAGUGGCCGCAGAGAAAUGGCCCAAGCAACUGUUUAGCAAAAACACAGGUCUAUGCAAAACCGCAAGGUGAAGUAUAUGGGCUGACGCCUGCCCGGUGCUGGAAGGUUAAGGGGAGAGGUUAGCGCAAGCGAAGCUUUGAACUUAAGCCCCAGUAAACGGCGGCCGUAACUAUAACGGUCCUAAGGUAGCGAAAUUCCUUGUCGGGUAAGUUCCGACCCGCACGAAAGGCGUAAUGAUUUGGGCACUGUCUCAACGAUACACCCGGUGAAAUUGAAAUACCAGUGAAGAUGCUGGUUACCUGCGCCAGGACGGAAAGACCCCAUGGAGCUUUACUCCAGCUUGAUACUGGGAUUCGAUACUGUAUGUACAGGAUAGGUGGGAGACGUUGAGCAUAGAACGCCAGUUUUAUGUGAGUCGCUGUUGGGAUACCACCCUUGCAGUAUUGGAUUUCUAACCUGCACCCAUGACCUGGGUGGGGGACAAUGUCUGGCGGGGAGUUUGACUGGGGCGGUCGCCUCCGAAAGGGUAUCGGAGGCGCUCAAAGGUUCCCUCAGAAUGGUUGGAAACCAUUCGAAGAGUGCAAAGGCAGAAGGGAGCUUGACUGUGACACCGACGGGUGGAGCAGGUACGAAAGUAGGACUUAGUGAUCCGGUGGUAUAAAGUGGGAUUGCCAUCGCUCAACGGAUAAAAGCUACCCUGGGGAUAACAGGCUUAUCACUCCCAAGAGUUCACAUCGACGGAGUGG
This 1474-nucleotide ribosomal RNA is filed under the name human gut metagenome. Its description in RNAcentral is "bacterial LSU rRNA". It matches the Rfam family "Bacterial large subunit ribosomal RNA", at positions 1013 to 2516 of the family's 2925-position model. The record is from RNAcentral.